RNAcentral lists this ribosomal RNA (253 nucleotides) under uncultured bacterium. Its description in RNAcentral is "partial 16S ribosomal RNA". It matches the Rfam family "Bacterial small subunit ribosomal RNA", at positions 524 to 776 of the family's 1533-position model. The record is from RNAcentral.
UACGUAGGGUGCAGGCGUUAAUCGGAAUUACUGGGCGUAAAGCGUGCGCAGGCGGCUUUGCAAGACAGAUGUGAAAUCCCCGGGCUUAACCUGGGAAUGGCAUUUGGGACUGCAAGGCUGGAGUUUGGCAGAGGAGACUGGAAUUCCUGGUGUAGCAGUGAAAUGCGUAGAUAUCAGGAGGAAUACCGAUGGCGAAGGCAGGUCUCUGGGCUAUAACUGACGCUCAUGCACGAAAGCGUGGGGAGCAAACAGG